ACAAAAAAAAAAAAAAAAGUAAAAACCAAAAAAUAUAUUAGGCAUACGAAAAUUCAAGGGUUAACACUCUGUUUGGUUACCGAGAAAAUGUGUGAAUAUAAAAUAAGUAAACAGCAUAACUUGCAUUAUAUUAAAUUUGGAACCACACUGAGCUAGAACCUAUACUAUAGAGAUGACUUGAGGUUAACAAUUCAAUUCAUUUCUCCUCCCUUUUGUUUUCAUUAAUUUUCUCGCAAACCAAACAGAGAGUUUGACAGGUUUUGCUGAUUGUAUAGAGAGAAGGAUACAGGAGUGAUGUAUUCUUUGCCGAAGACAGUGUGGAGAAGGUCGAAAUCGACGAUGUGAAGCUCCUGGACCAAUUCGACAACGUUUCGUUCCGAUAAUCGGAUGCUCGAUUUAGCUUACUGCGUGAAACGAAUUGUCUCUGCAAUUCCAACAAUUCAGCAUCCAUUUUUCGUAUUUCUCUUCUUCAAUUUUUGUUCAAUCAACACGCAGAGAUUUUCUGAUUCGUUUUCAGUAUUCCGUUCAAAUUUUG
Molecule: unclassified non-coding RNA, 535 nt
Filed under: Hevea brasiliensis (rubber tree)
Lineage: Eukaryota; Viridiplantae; Streptophyta; Magnoliopsida; Malpighiales; Euphorbiaceae
Source: RNAcentral